Molecule: long non-coding RNA, 208 nt
Organism: Mercurialis annua (annual mercury)
Lineage: Eukaryota; Viridiplantae; Streptophyta; Magnoliopsida; Malpighiales; Euphorbiaceae
Exons: 3
Source: RefSeq, a predicted model, not a curated record
CUCGUUCUGUAGUUCGCCUGCGUUGCAUUUCGAGGAAGAACAAAUCCGGGCUAAGAAGAUAAUGGGAAAAGAAAAGAUCUUCUUCGGCAGUGAUGAGACGAAAGGGAAGAAACGGCCAGCCCGUACUGUGGAAGUGGAUUCUGAGAUCCUGGAAAUUGUUCUGCACUAUGAUGGAGAAUUUGGAGAAGGUGGUUAUUUGUGGGACGAG